RNAcentral lists this long non-coding RNA (268 nucleotides) under Linum usitatissimum (flax). Its description in RNAcentral is "long non-coding RNA (LUSI_LNC000859)". Lineage: Eukaryota; Viridiplantae; Streptophyta; Magnoliopsida; Malpighiales; Linaceae. The record is from RNAcentral.
ACAACCCAGAUGGGAGUCUUGCGACCUCGGCUCGCUCCAAGAAGCCGAUUUCCAUCGCUGGGUCGGCUCCGCCGCCGGUGAUUGAUUUCUCCUCUGGGAAGCGGCCCAGAGUGAAUGAGCCUAAGGAAAAGUCGACUUAUGGUGAGCUCGCUGACGGUUAAUUCCGAUUGUUAUGCUUGUUUUGUGAAUGUAAUUCGCGAUCUUUGGCUGUAACAUAGAUAUGGGGUUCGGCUGAUGUUUUGAUCUGUUGAUGAAAUAAUCAUGAAUA